GGACAAUCUGACGGGUAGGAUGAAACGUCAGGACACCGGCCGCAGCUCAAGUCGAACGCACCUUAUGUUUCGACAUUUUAAAAGUUAUGAUAAGCUGGUGGACAGAAAUAAAUAGAGACAGUCAGUUUUUAUUAAACACCAAACACACUUUGACUGUCUCGAGCACAUUAGUAAUAUAAACUGGAUGAUGAAAUACUAACGUAAUGUGAAUGUAAACUAGAUAACAACGGAACAGGUGCUUGUUCGGAACUGUAACUCCAUUCGUUGUUCCUACACGGUCAGAUAUUCCUGUUGCACUGUUUGUACCGGUCGAAAACAUCCCACUAAGUAUAUAGCUCACUACAUAAGAUGUAGUAUUCGUUAUUUUAUACUCUAUAUAGUGCGCUUUUGUAUGGAGAAAGGACCCGUUUUUGGAGAGGAUAUUAUCACUGUUUGUGUCCACAGCCAUGGAGCUGAAGUGUGUUUGAAGAUGCUGGUCAGUUGCCUAAUUCAG
This is a long non-coding RNA of Ictalurus punctatus (channel catfish), 493 nucleotides long. NCBI's taxonomy places the organism in Eukaryota, Metazoa, Chordata, Actinopteri, Siluriformes, Ictaluridae. The record is from Ensembl.